GACGAACGCUGGCGGCGUGCUUAACACAUGCAAGUCGAACGGAAAGGCCCUGCUUUUGUGGGGUGCUCGAGUGGCGAACGGGUGAGUAACACGUGAGUAACCUGCCCUUGACUUUGUGAUAACUUCAGGAAACUGGGGCUAAUACCGGAUAGGAGCUCCUGCUGCAUGGUGGGGGUUGGAAAGUUUCGGCGGUUGGGGAUGGACUCGCGGGUUAUCAGCUUGUUGGUGGGGUAGUGGCUUACCAAGGCUUUGACGGGUAGCCGGCCUGAGAGGGUGAACGGGCACAUUGGGACUGAGAUACGGAGCAGAAUGCUACGGGAGGCAGUAGUGGGGAACAUUGCACAACGGGCGGAAGCCUGAUGCAGCAACGCCGCGUGCGGGAUGACGGCCUUCGGGUUGUAAACCGCUUUCGACUGAGACGAAGCGUGAGUGACGGUAAUGGGUAAAGAAGCACCGGCUAACUACGUG
RNAcentral lists this ribosomal RNA (468 nucleotides) under uncultured bacterium. RNAcentral's name for it is "partial 16S ribosomal RNA". It matches the Rfam family "Bacterial small subunit ribosomal RNA", at positions 28 to 507 of the family's 1533-position model. The record is from RNAcentral.